Molecule: long non-coding RNA, 424 nt
Organism: Myotis daubentonii (Daubenton's bat)
Lineage: Eukaryota; Metazoa; Chordata; Mammalia; Chiroptera; Vespertilionidae
Gene: KIF6
Exons: 3
Source: RefSeq, a predicted model, not a curated record
GUUGGAAAAACAAAUAGCAUCCUUUUUGGAAGACCAGGAUCCAGAGAGUAGACUAGAGGUUGGCGCCGACAUGCGUAAAAUUCAUCACUGUUUCUGUCAUUUAAAGAAACUACUGAUGGACAAGAAGGGUGAUGGGACCAGCACAAUGUCCUCUGAAAUCAAAGACCAGGACUGUCAGGAGCCACUGAAAGAGGAGGAAUAUAAAAAACUACGAGAUAUUCUACAGCAGAGAGAUAAUGAAAUCAAUAUUCUGGUCAACAUGUUAAAGAAGGAAAAGAAGAAAGCUCAAGAUGCCCUCCACGCAUCUGGCGCGGACAGAAACGAAUCUAGACGGGCACAGAACUCGCCCCUCCCCACAGGGAACCCGGAAGGCCCAAGGACAUUGCUGCCUUCAGCUCCCACACAGGCCCAAGAUGCCACCACU